GAUUUGUUCGUUUGUUUUUUUUAAGUUUAUGUGUAAUUUCAGGUAUUUUUCCGAUUAUUCCAACAGCGCCUGAACGUAGCAUGUCUUUAAGUUCGUGUUUUUCUCUGGGGGACAUCGUCCCAUUGGUGCAGUUGGCACCAAAAUAAGAAAAAAGUCACAAUUCUGAAAUAAUAACUCCAAAAUGUUCUUAAAAGUACAUUACUUUUUAAAUUAAAAUUAGCAUGUUUUAUGUCUAAACUCCAUGUUAUUUCUUUCUCUUAUGAGGCGGAUUACCAAAGCACGCCACACACCUGCUCCUGGUUCGGUUAGAACAAAUCAAAACGUUUGCACACCAAUGGUCACCCGAGGCCGUCACAGACCCUUGCAGCUGGAGGAGACCGCCGUAAGCAGUAUUUCCACUUCCCCUCCAUUCAUCUUCUCACACCUUGUUUUGUCGCUCCGAGGCAGACCGGGCUGCACUAAAGGACUGCGCCGCUGAUGAGAUCGCCCAAAUGUUAAUUAAAAAGAUCCUGAACUGGAAGAUGAAAGAAAAGAGGCGGGUUUGCCGGCAGAACACUGACAGGUUCUCCCCGGAAACCAAAGAUGAACUUCCCUUUGAUGUGGCAGGUCUUUAGCAGACCUUCUGAGGCAGAGGGAGGGAAAAACUGUGGUGUUUGGGUCUUUUUCCUGGUAAAGGAAAGCCAGAAAUGUGUCAUUAAAUGAGAGGAUACUUUGCUGACUGAGGUGUA
This is a long non-coding RNA of Oryzias melastigma (Indian medaka), 728 nucleotides long. RefSeq lists it as uncharacterized. The transcript has 3 exons. Lineage: Eukaryota; Metazoa; Chordata; Actinopteri; Beloniformes; Adrianichthyidae. The record is from RefSeq and is a predicted model, not a curated record.